CUGUCAUGGCUGCUGUCAGUGAGGGCCCGUAAUGGAGAUCGAGUCAAGGGUUGCCCAGGGACACUUAAGAGCCUUCGGCUUCAAGGAGGCCUCUCAAAGGACAAAGGAUGAGACUGCCUGGCGGCAGAGUGCCCCCCACAAUCGUAGGAACUGUGUCGCCGCGCUUCCCGUUAACUUGCCGCUAAGUUUUUCUAGAAAAGUCGCCCUUCUUGCCAGGGGUGUCCUAUAGACUUUGUCAUGGAGUGAAACAGAAACAAAUACUUCAUAUACCCCUCAUGAUGUCAUGAGAUGACUGUUUGGAUUAAUCAUCUUCAGACCAAGACUCUUCAGCUGGCUUGGCUUUUUCAGAGGAAACAGAGACUCUCAGACAUGAAUACUGUGACACUGACCACCAGGCCAACUUAACAUCAGCAGAUAUCCUGUCUCAGAUGAAGAGAAUGGCCUGUCCAGAAGACAGCCAAAUACAUCCUUCAAACAGACUUCACUGCAGGAGACAGAGUGGAUUCAUCCUGUAUUCUCCAUGUAGACUUCCAUCUUCAUGAGUACUCCAAGAAGAUGGUUCAGUUGACUAUUGCAAAGUCUCAGGUAUGUCUUUAUCAGCAGCAUGAAAAUGGACUAAUAGUACCAGUAGAGUGGGGCAUUGCUGAAAAGAUACCCGAAAAUGUGGAAGCAACUUUGGAACUGGGUGUUGAAAUAAUCUGGAGGGCUCAGAAGAAGAUAGGAAAAUGUAGGAAAGUUUGGAACCUCCUAGAGACUGUGAAUGGCAUUGACAAAAAUACUGAUAGUGAUAUGAACAAUAAGGUCCAGGCUGAGGUGGUCUCAGAUGGAGAUGAAGACCUUGUUGGGAACUGAAGUAAA
RNAcentral lists this non-coding RNA (858 nucleotides) under Pan troglodytes (chimpanzee). The record is from RNAcentral. Lineage: Eukaryota; Metazoa; Chordata; Mammalia; Primates; Hominidae. RNAcentral also lists the same sequence under 1 other name.